AGCGGACGCCACCAGUCUGUUCAAAACAGUUUAUUUUAUUUUUUGUCAGACAAACACAUUGAUUUCUGGACCACAGUAGAGGAUGGAAACCUUUCACAAACUUAUUUAUUUGAAAAUACAAAUAUAAAAUUAUACUUUCCACAUCUGUGAUGUGAGAGACCCCCAUCCACAUAGUAUUUUACAACAGGGCUUUAGAAAGCCAUACACAGAGACCUGAAAGAUGCUUGAUAUAUAUAGAUACAUAUAUAUGUAUAUAUAUAAAAAAAAAGGUCACUACCAAAGUUCUCAUCAGUUCAUACUAAAGUAUAAAAGGAAGGGCUAGGCCUGCCACUCUUUAGGUACAUUUAUGACCACCUGAAAUGCUUAGACUCGCAUUCGAUUACUGAUGGAAUUCAGACAUAUAAUGAAUUAUAUUUGCUACCCACUAUAGUCCUAAUGACACACAGAGAUCCCACACGUGGUGUUGGAGUAUGUACAGAAUACAGCAUUAUAGCAUGGGUGACUCCAGCUUUUGGUCAAAGCCUUUUCGCUUUGAUUUUACACUGAUCUGAAAUGAAAUUCUGUCAAGACAAUACAUUCCGAUUGUUUGGUAACUUGCAGACAGAUCACUUAAGAUUUACUUAUUUCAACGACUUAUUUCGCUUUUUGGUAAAUUUUAUUACAGUAUUAAAGUAUUGCUUAGUUACAGAAUCUCCUCAUGUAGUGUCCGCACACAGAAAUGGGUUUGAAUUCGAUUCUGUACUUAUGAAACUCUACAGUGUAUGUACGCAGACCACAGAAUCUGCCAGUGUGUCUUCAAUGCACUCUGUCUCCCAAACUUACACCAACCUCCAGUUUCUGUUUCAACCAUUUUGCGUCUUAAAAAAACACACAAAAAUAAAAACAAAAAAACAAAACGAGAAAAAAAAAAUCCAAAAAAGUUCCACUCGAGAAACAUUUCCACAGCAUACGAUAGCUACGAGUUAGUGUUUGUAAACAGUUUCAUAUGCAAUAUCAUAUAUAACCAUGGCUGACCUUCAGUAAGAAUGUAGUAAACUAUAUUGCUUUAUUAUUGAUUAUGUUGCACUGAAUGAAUGGCAAAAUGAAACAGAAAGGGAUCUGUGGCUUAAGUCACUAGCCCUCAUUCACACUAAAGAUCAAAAUAGCAUUAUAGGUUUUAUAGCUGGGAGGGAAGGGGGAAAAAAAAAUCUGAACACCUUUCAGGUCAUUAUUACCAACAAUUACCCAAUGAUUUAACUAGUCUAGCAAGAUGUGUAACAUUCACCAGCUGUAUACUGCUGUACAAUGAAAAAAAAAUUACAGCAACAGAGCCAUGCUACCUUAAAGUCCAAGCUACAAAUUCAAAUUAAAAUGAACGUUAUGAAGUAUAAAACCAAAACAAAACCAAAAAAAAAAAAAAAAAGGACAGAUCGGUCUUCAUUUUAAUCAAGCCAAUCACUAAUCAAAUUUGUUUUGGAGGGGGAGUUGGGGAAAGAGGGUCAUUACACUCCUGAUUAUCCUGGAUACGGCACUUCCUUCCAAAAGUGCCACGGGGAUGAUGGAUAUAAGCAGGCCCGUUGCAUCAACAGAGUCACCCAAAGCUACCAGGUGCACGUGGCAUAGCCACGUGCCGUUAUGGGCCUGCCUCCACGUUAAGUGAUGGACCUUUGAAUCAUAGACAAUGAGGGUUGGAAGGGACCUCAGGAGGUCACAUCUAGUCCAGCCCCCUGCUCAAAGCAGGACCAGCCCCAACUACAUCAUCCCAGCCAAGGCUUUGUCUAGCUGGGAUGAUCCAGUUGGGGGUGGUCCCACUUUAUGGAGCUCCACAUUAAACGAGACACAGCUGGAGGUAUUUUGCUUUUGUUGCCCGUUUGCACAACUAGGCAGGGAUUUCGUUCCAGUAAGUCCAGAGGAGGGGUCGGUCAUCGGUCGGGGAGGGGUUUAUCACUGUUCUAAACGGGGGGAUUUUGAAACAAAAGGGCGAGACCCGUUGUCGCGAUGCUUGACUAAAAUAAAGAUGUAGCUGCAUCCUUUGUGCUAAAAAAGGAAUUUACAAAUCAAAUCAAAUCCUUUGAGAUGGACUUCUAGAUGAGUGGGGGACUAAAGUGAACCUUAGUCUAGGUAGCCACAUCAAAAACAUAUCAGGUUCCACAAUAUUUGUGCUAUGGGCCACUGGGACUUUUCAAAAGGUAUAUAAACAUCUAAAACAUAUUCACACAGAUUAUCAAUUUCUUCUGAGCAUUCUUAAAAAAAUAUUUUUUUUUCUCUUAGUAAAAUCAUUUUAAUAUACCAUGCCUCCCUCUUUUAAAAAAUAAAUUAAAAAAAUCCAGUUUUGCAUAUCUAGCGUUAGCAUUUAAGGUAGUAUGGCACACCCCCUCUUUAAAGUCAAGGGUGGGGAUCUACAAAAUGCCUUAAGAGUUUGCCAGCAUUUUUAACAUUGUGAGACCUUUGGUUAGUUGAAACCACAUCAGAUCAGCAAAAAAUAAAAUUAAAUUAAAAAUUAAAAAAGAGGAAAAAAAAAAAAACAAAGAAAGAAACAAAAGGAAAAACUGCCCAAAAAUCAUUAGCAUUUUUUUUUCUUAAAUAAGAGAAAGUUCUAUCCUUACUGGUCCUAAAUCUGAAUAACUACAUCUAAAUUUUUAACCUUAAUUACGAUAUACCUACCAAUAUGUACUAGAAGAGGAAGAGAAAGAGAGAGAAAGAGGAGAGGGGGAACUUCACUACACUAGCAUCAGGACAGCACUCUUACAAGAUAGCCAUUUUAUACACUAUUAACAUACAACAAUGAUCAACAAAGAAUAUUCUGUGAGGUGAUAGGGAAUGGAGAGGAAAAACAAAUGGUAGUACAGUACGUCAUCAACAUUGACAAAAUAUUAAUAAAAAAUUCCCUGACUUAUACAUUGACUCGCAGGGAAUUUGGUUUGCUGUUUGUGUGUGUGUUUUUUUUUUAAUUUUUAUUUUUUAAAGAAUUGUUUUAUUUUUAUUUUUUAUUAUUACUUGAUCAAGUCUCAAUAUUUAAAAAGCGUCCAGCAUUUUGCUUAAACCUGGUUGUUCUGAAAUAAGAAAAAAAAAAAAAAAACCAAACCCAAAACCUAAAAUAUUACACAAAAAAGCAUGUUUUUAAAAACAAGAAAAACAAGGUGUUUUCCUUUCCGUUAGCAGUAUGGUGCCUGGUUUUUGUUUUUUGUGUUUUUUUUGUUAAAGAUGCCUUGCUCUACCUUGUCUAUUGAACGUCUACAUUAGUCUACUUGUUAGUAAAAUUUACAAAAAUAAGAGUGCAGCAGCUCUUUUUAACAAAUGUCGCAUUCAGUGUCUUAUACUGGCUGUACCUAAAGUACCAAAUUUAUAAACGUAACAAUUUAAAAAAAUAUUAAUAAAACUUGUCAAUAUUACGUUAAAAAAAGAAGAAAUAUAUCCACACUACAGUAUGUUCUUAAUGCCACCUACCAUGUUGUACUUCUAUUUUGCUGUUGCAGGCCUAUUUACCAAUAUUAAAAAAAUUAAAUUAAAAAAUAUCCUUCAUAAGUUUCCUCCCCCAACAGAGGACCAUAUAUAUAACAGCCAAAUAUUAAACAUGUGCAAAUAGGAAACUGUCAGUUUUCGCCCCACCAGUCACAGUGCAAUGAUGUUUUAUACUUUUUUUUAUUUUUUUUUUUAAUUCUGUUUACAUCUACAAUAAAUUAAAAUCUUCUGUCACUUCUAGGGUGAUACUUGUAGCACUGAGGUAUUCCCAAAAAAAAAAAAAGGUUGCUUUCCUAAUUCGUUAAUAUAGAAAAUAAUGGAUAAAAAGGUAAUAAUGCAAAGCUUUAAAACCGCUCUCCCUACAGCACGUGAAAUGAGGAAGAGAAACCUCUUCUCUGUCAAGCUUUGUAGGACAUAUCGAGCAGCUGAAAUGACUGGACAGCAAGUUGAUCUAAUUUAAAACAACAACUAAAAAAGGAUUCACAAGUUCAAAAAACCUUAUAUCACCUCUUUCAACAAAAAAAAGCACUUAUAGAAAAAAGGACACGCAAAACUUUUGGAGUCCUUACCUUAUUGCCGAAAAUAGAUAGAAUUAGGUUAACAGAGACAUCACAAAUGAAAAGACCUGCUACGCCACUACACUCUCAGCUCCCAGACAACACAAACGAGAGACUUGACUUCAGCCCACCUGCUGCACUUGCUCUACCUACAAUUCAGUGUGCGCUAAAAUUCCACCUGAAGAGUUUUUACAGUUUCAGAAUUGGUACCAAAAGACUGAGAAUCACGUUAUCGUCUCAGCAUCCUUUAAGCAACAACUACAUAAAACAAAAGGGAAGGAAAAAAAAAAUCAAAAGGAGGGAAAACAAAAAGAAAACCCUUAAUAUAAACAGUUAGUUAUAGUAUGGUUAGGCUUUUUACUAGAUACACAAAGAAUAGAUCUACGUGACUACGAGACUAUGUCAAAAUGCUAUGAAAACAAAACGUGAUUCAAAUCGAUUUAAAAGGGGGGGGGGGGGAGGAGGGAAGGGGGG
Long non-coding RNA from Alligator sinensis (Chinese alligator), 4472 nucleotides. RefSeq lists it as uncharacterized. Lineage: Eukaryota; Metazoa; Chordata; Crocodylia; Alligatoridae. The transcript has 2 exons. The record is from RefSeq and is a predicted model, not a curated record.